UACGUAGGGUGCAAGCGUUGUCCGGAAUUAUUGGGCGUAAAGAGCUCGUAGGCGGUUUGUCGCGUCUGCUGUGAAAACGCGAGGCUCAACCUCGCGCCUGCAGUGGGUACGGGCAGACUAGAGUGCGGUAGGGGAGAUUGGAAUUCCUGGUGUAGCGGUGGAAUGCGCAGAUAUCAGGAGGAACACCGGUGGCGAAGGCGGGUCUCUGGGCCGAUACUGACGCUGAGGAGCGAAAGCGUGGGGGAGCGAACAGG
This 254-nucleotide ribosomal RNA is filed under the name uncultured bacterium. RNAcentral describes it as "partial 16S ribosomal RNA". It matches the Rfam family "Bacterial small subunit ribosomal RNA", at positions 524 to 776 of the family's 1533-position model. The record is from RNAcentral.